GACGAACGCUGGCGGCGCGCUUAACACAUGCAAGUCGAACGGAAAGGCCUGCUUUCCCUUGUGGAUUGCGGGUACUCGAGUGGCGAACGGGUGAGUAACACGUGAGUGAUCUGCCCCCAACUUGGGUAUAAGCCUGGGAAACUGGGUCUAAUUCCCGAUAGGACUGCAGGGUGGUGCCUGUGGUGGAAAACGAUUUUCUAGUGGUUGGGGAUGAGCUCGCGGCCUAUCAGCUUGUUGGUGGGGUAAUGGCCUACCAAGGCGGCGACGGGUAGCCGGCCUGAGAGGGUGGACGGCCACAUUGGGACUGAGAUACGGCCCAGACUCCUACGGGAGGCAGCAGUGGGGAAGAGUGCACAAUGGGCGGAAGCCUGAUGCAGCGACGCCGCGUGGGGGAUGACGGCCUUCGGGUUGUAAACUCCUUUCGACCGCGAGGAAGCCACCUGGUUGGAAGGGUGGUGACGGUAGUGGUAGAAGAAGCACCGGCUAACUACGUG
This 494-nucleotide ribosomal RNA is filed under the name uncultured bacterium. RNAcentral describes it as "partial 16S ribosomal RNA". It matches the Rfam family "Bacterial small subunit ribosomal RNA", at positions 28 to 507 of the family's 1533-position model. The record is from RNAcentral.